This 464-nucleotide ribosomal RNA is filed under the name uncultured Pseudomonadota bacterium. RNAcentral's name for it is "bacterial SSU rRNA". It matches the Rfam family "Bacterial small subunit ribosomal RNA", at positions 29 to 505 of the family's 1533-position model. Lineage: Bacteria; Pseudomonadati; Pseudomonadota. The record is from RNAcentral.
AAUGAACGCUGGCGGCGUGCCUCAGACAUGCAAGUCGAACGAGAAAGUCUCUUCGGAGGCGAGUAGAGUGGCGCACGGGUGAGUAACACUUAAGUAAUCUACCCUUUCGCUGGGGAUAACAGGAGGAAACUCCUGCUAAUACCGAAUACCACGAUAAUUUCUGCGGAUUUUAUCGUAAAAGCCUUCGGGCGCGAAAGGAGGAGCUUGAGCACCAUUAGCUUGUUGGUAGGGUAAAAGCCUACCAAGGCGACGAUGGUUAGCUGGUCUGAGAGGAUGAUCAGCCACACUGGUACUGGAACACGGACCAGACUCCUACGGGAGGCAGCAGUUAGGAAUUUUGCGCAAUGGGGGAAACCCUGACGCAGCAACGCCGCGUGAGUGAGGAAGGCUUUCGGGUCGUAAAGCUCUUUUAGCAGGGAAGAAAAAAAUGACGGUACCUGCAGAAAAAGCACCGGCUAACUCCG